RNAcentral lists this ribosomal RNA (1346 nucleotides) under uncultured bacterium. Its description in RNAcentral is "partial 16S ribosomal RNA". It matches the Rfam family "Bacterial small subunit ribosomal RNA", at positions 28 to 1381 of the family's 1533-position model. The record is from RNAcentral.
GACGAACGCUGGCGGCGUGCUUAACACAUGCAAGUCGAACGGAAAGGCCCUGCUUUUGUGGGGUGCUCGAGUGGCGAACGGGUGAGUAACACGUGAGUAACCUGCCCUUGACUUUGGGAUAACUUCAGGAAACUGGGGCUAAUACCGGAUAGGAGCUCCUGCUGCAUGGUGGGGGUUGGAAAGUUUCGGCGGCUGGGGAUGGACUCGCGGCUUAUCAGCUUGUUGGUGGGGUAGUGGCUUACCAAGGCUUUGACGGGUAGCCGGCCUGAGAGGGUGACCGGCCACAUUGGGACUGAGAUACGGCCCAGACUCCUACGGGAGGCAGCAGUGGGGAAUAUUGCACAAUGGGCGGAAGCCUGAUGCAGCAACGCCGCGUGCGGGAUGACGGCCUUCGGGUUGUAAACCGCUUUCGCCUGUGACGAAGCGUGAGUGACGGUAAUGGGUAAAGAAGCACCGGCUAACUACGUGCCAGCAGCCGCGGUGAUACGUAUGGUGCGAGCGUUGUCCGGAUUUAUUGGGCGUAAAGGGCUCGUAGGUGGUUGAUCGCGUCGGAAGUGUAAUCUUGGGGCUUAACCCUGAGCGUGCUUUCGAUACGGGUUGACUUGAGGAAGGUAGGGGAGAAUGGAAUUCCUGGUGGAGCGGUGGAAUGCGCAGAUAUCAGGAGGAACACCAGUGGCGAAGGCGGUUCUCUGGGCCUUUCCUGACGCUGAGGAGCGAAAGCGUGGGGAGCGAACAGGCUUAGAUACCCUGGUAGUCCACGCUGUAAACGGUGGGUACUAGGUGUGGGGUCCAUUCCACGGGUUCCGUGCCGUAGCUAACGCUUUAAGUACCCCGCCUGGGGAGUACGGCCGCAAGGCUAAAACUCAAAGGAAUUGACGGGGCCCCGCACAAGCGGCGGAGCAUGCGGAUUAAUUCGAUGCAACGCGUAGAACCUUACCUGGGUUUGACAUGGAUCGGGAGUGCUCAGAGAUGGGUGUGCCUCUUUUGGGGUCGGUUCACAGGUGGUGCAUGGCUGUCGUCAGCUCGUGUCGUGAGAUGUUGGGUUAAGUCCCGCAACGAGCGCAACCCUUGUUCACUGUUGCCAGCACGUUAUGGUGGGGACUCAGUGGAGACCGCCGGGGUCAACUCGGAGGAAGGUGGGGAUGACGUCAAGUCAUCAUGCCCCUUAUGUCCAGGGCUUCACGCAUGCUACAAUGGCUGGUACAGAGAGUGGCGAGCCUGUGAGGGUGAGCGAAUCUCGGAAAGCCGGUCUCAGUUCGGAUUGGGGUCUGCAACUCGACCUCAUGAAGUCGGAGUCGCUAGUAAUCGCAGAUCAGCAACGCUGCGGUGAAUACGUUCCCGGGGCU